RNAcentral lists this ribosomal RNA (377 nucleotides) under uncultured eukaryote. RNAcentral describes it as "partial 18S ribosomal RNA". It matches the Rfam family "Eukaryotic small subunit ribosomal RNA", at positions 592 to 976 of the family's 1831-position model. The record is from RNAcentral.
CAAUAGCGUAUAUUUAAGUUGCUGCAGUUAAAAAGCUCGUAGUUGGAUUUCGGGUGGGAAUGGCCGGUCCGCCGUUUCGGUGUGCACUUGCUACGCCCACCUUGCUGCCGGGGACGUGCUCUUGAGUUCACGCUCGGGACACGGAGUCGGCGAGGUUACUUUGAGUAAAUUAGAGUGUUCAAAGCAGGCCUACGCUCUGAAUACAUUAGUAUGGAAUAACACGAUAGGACUCUGGCCUACCUUGUUGGUCUGUAGGACCGGAGUAAUGAUUAAGAGGGACAGUCGGGGGCAUUCGUAUUUCAUUGUCAGAGGUGAAAUUCUUGGAUUUAUGAAAGACGAACUACUGCGAAAGCAUUUGUCAAGGAUGUUUUCAUUAA